This 745-nucleotide long non-coding RNA is filed under the name Ananas comosus (pineapple). Its description in RNAcentral is "long non-coding RNA (ACOM_LNC042892)". The record is from RNAcentral. Lineage: Eukaryota; Viridiplantae; Streptophyta; Magnoliopsida; Poales; Bromeliaceae.
UGACAUCAACCUCAGUCUCAACUCGUCGAAGCUCCUCUGACAGUCCUCACUCCAAAGGAACCGAAUCCCCUUUCGAGUCAAUCGAGUGAAGCGUGUGGAAAGCUUCGUAAGCCUUCCACAAACUGACGGUAAUAUCCUGCCAGUCCCAGAAAACUCCUCACACUACUAGAAAAUUAGUCAUUAGUGGCAUUUAUUUAUGCUGCUGAAUGAUCAACAAAUGCUGCUAAAAGUUUUAGCAGCAUAUGACACCAAAUGCUGCCUAUGCCAAUGUUGCUAAAAGUAUUAGCAGCAUUAAUUAUAAAUGCCGCCAAUAUAAAUCAAUUAGUGUCAUUAGGGAUAUGCCGCUAAAAGGGAUUAAAUGCUAAUUUAAAUUGUUUAUUAGCGGCACAUAAAUAUAAUGCCGCUAAUACAAAUAUAUGAUUUUAGAAAUUAAAAUUUUAAAAUUUUAAUUUUAUUUAUAUUUAAUUUUUUUGAGAUGCUACCUGCUUCAUUUAUUUUUUUCGUCUUAAACUUUGCUGGAAAUGUGAAUCAACUAGGAUUCGAACUUAGGGCUGGCAAAUGAGCGAGCCGGCUCGCGUUCAACUCGCGUUUGACCCGAUAUUUGGCUCGCUCGAGCUCGACUCGAAAUUAAAUGAGCCGAGCUUGAACAAAAAAAAAGGCUCGAAAUUCAUUUCAAGCCGAGCUUGAGUAUUACUCGGCUCGUUCGAAUUAGGCUCGACAAGCUCGAAAAGCUCGAAUAUAUAUA